GAUGAAGAACGUAGCGAAAUGCGAUAAGUAAUGUGAAUUGCAGAAUUCAGUGAAUCAUCGAAUCUUUGAACGCACAUUGCGCCCGUCAGUAUUCUGGCGGGCAUGCCUGUUCGAGCGUCAUUACGCCCCUCAAGUCCCCUGUGGACUUGGUGUUGGGGAUCGGCGAGGCUGGUUUUCCAGCACAGCCGUCCCUUAAAUUAAUUGGCGGUCUCGCCGUGGCCCUCCUCUGCGCAGUAGUAAAACACUCGCAACAGGAGCCCGGCGCGGUCCACUGCCGUAAAACCCCCCAACUUUUUAUAGUUGACCUCGAAUCAGGUAGGACUACCCGCUGAACUUAAGCAUAUCAAUAGGCGGAGGA
This 358-nucleotide unclassified non-coding RNA is filed under the name soil metagenome. RNAcentral's name for it is "partial contains 5.8S ribosomal RNA, internal transcribed spacer 2, and large subunit ribosomal RNA". The stretch from base 1 to 120 matches the Rfam family "5.8S ribosomal RNA", at positions 35 to 154 of the family's 154-position model. The record is from RNAcentral.